GAUGAACGCUGGCGGCGUGCUUAACACAUGCAAGUCGAACGGAAAGGCUCCUGCUUGCAGGGGUACUCGAGUGGCGAACGGGUGAGUAACACGUGGGUGAUCUGCCCUGCACUUCGGGAUAAGCCUGGGAAACUGGGUCUAAUACCGGAUAGGACGAUGGUUUGGAUGACAUUGUGGAAAGUUUUGUCGGUGUGGGAUGAGCUCGCGGCCUAUCAGCUUGUUGGUGGGGUAAUGGCCUACCAAGGCGUCGACGGGUAGCCGGCCUGAGAGGGUGUACGGCCACAUUGGGACUGAGAUACGGCCCAGACUCCUACGGGAGGCAGCAGUGGGGAAUAUUGCACAAUGGGCGCAAGCCUGAUGCAGCGACGCCGCGUGGGGGAUGACGGCCUUCGGGUUGUAAACUCCUUUCGCUAGGGACGAAGCGCAAGUGACGGUACCUGGAGAAGAAGCACCGGCUAACUACGUG
Molecule: ribosomal RNA, 466 nt
Filed under: uncultured bacterium
Lineage: Bacteria
Description: partial 16S ribosomal RNA
Rfam family: Bacterial small subunit ribosomal RNA
Source: RNAcentral